GGUUUCCGUAGGUGAACCUGCGGAAGGAUCAUUACCGAGUGCGGGCCCCUCGGGGCCCAACCUCCCACCCGUGUUGCCCGAACCUAUGUUGCCUCGGCGGGCCCCGCGCCCGCCGACGGCCCCCCUGAACGCUGUCUGAAGUUGCAGUCUGAGACCUAUAACGAAAUUAGUUAAAACUUUCAACAACGGAUCUCUUGGUUCCGGCAUCGAUGAAGAACGCAGCGAAAUGCGAUAACUAAUGUGAAUUGCAGAAUUCAGUGAAUCAUCGAGUCUUUGAACGCACAUUGCGCCCUCUGGUAUUCCGGAGGGCAUGCCUGUCCGAGCGUCAUUGCUGCCCUCAAGCCCGGCUUGUGUGUUGGGCCCCGUCCCCCCCGCCGGGGGGACGGGCCCGAAAGGCAGCGGCGGCACCGCGUCCGGUCCUCGAGCGUAUGGGGCUUCGUCACCCGCUCUAGUAGGCCCGGCCGGCGCCAGCCGACCCCCAACCUUUAAUUAUCUCAGGUUGACCUCGGAUCAGGUAGGGAUACCC
RNAcentral lists this ribosomal RNA (526 nucleotides) under Aspergillus niger. RNAcentral's name for it is "eukaryotic LSU rRNA". The stretch from base 175 to 328 matches the Rfam family "5.8S ribosomal RNA". Lineage: Eukaryota; Fungi; Ascomycota; Eurotiomycetes; Eurotiales; Aspergillaceae. The record is from RNAcentral.